Flavobacteria bacterium BAL38 is the source of this 61-nucleotide small RNA. It matches the Rfam family "Flavo-1 RNA". The record is from Rfam. NCBI's taxonomy places the organism in Bacteria, Pseudomonadati, Bacteroidota, Flavobacteriia, Flavobacteriales.
AUCUAACCCCGAUAGAAGCGACAUCCCGCCUUGGCGGAUAUAGCGAAUAGCGGGAAAAUGG